GCAUAGUGGACCCAACCACGGCUCUGCUGUACGCCUAUAGCACGCCAUUCAUUUUCAGCGAGAAGCCGAUUCUUUGGGAGAAGCUUUGCCACUUCAGGAGGGAGCACCACAUGCCUAUACUCAUAAGUGUCAUCGAAAUACUUUUCGGAGUACUGGAUCUGACCCAUUUUCUACUCUACUAGGGCUUUUAGUGCCAAUCAAACUCCACUUUCAAAACAGUUGUUCGAGUUUCUUCAAGGUUUUUAUGAUUGAUCUGAGAGAUAGAGAGAUGAAGU
RNAcentral lists this unclassified non-coding RNA (275 nucleotides) under Hevea brasiliensis (rubber tree). The record is from RNAcentral. Lineage: Eukaryota; Viridiplantae; Streptophyta; Magnoliopsida; Malpighiales; Euphorbiaceae.